Molecule: ribosomal RNA, 253 nt
Filed under: uncultured bacterium
Lineage: Bacteria
Description: partial 16S ribosomal RNA
Rfam family: Bacterial small subunit ribosomal RNA
Source: RNAcentral
UACGGAGGGUGCAAGCAUUAAUCGGAUUUAUUGGGCGUAAAGGGCGCGUAGGCGGGCGUGCAAGUCAGAUGUGAAAUCCCGAAGCUCAACUUCGGAACAGCAUUUGAAACUGCAUGUCUAGAGGGUAGGCGGAGAAAAUAGAAUUCCACAAGUAGCGGUGAAAUGCGUAGAUAUGUGGAAGAAUACCGGUGGCGAAGGCGAUUUUCUAGCUUAUACCUGACGCUGAGGCGCGAAAGCAAGGGGAUCAAACAGG